This 465-nucleotide ribosomal RNA is filed under the name Vreelandella stevensii. RNAcentral describes it as "partial 16S ribosomal RNA". It matches the Rfam family "Bacterial small subunit ribosomal RNA", at positions 338 to 795 of the family's 1533-position model. The record is from RNAcentral. Lineage: Bacteria; Pseudomonadati; Pseudomonadota; Gammaproteobacteria; Oceanospirillales; Halomonadaceae.
CCUACGGGAGGCAGCAGUGGGGAAUAUUGGACAAUGGGGGCAACCCUGAUCCAGCCAUGCCGCGUGUGUGAAGAAGGCCCUCGGGUUGUAAAGCACUUUCAGUGAGGAAGAACGCCUGGUGGUUAAUACCCAUCAGGAAAGACAUCACUCACAGAAGAAGCACCGGCUAACUCCGUGCCAGCAGCCGCGGUAAUACGGAGGGUGCGAGCGUUAAUCGGAAUUACUGGGCGUAAAGCGCGCGUAGGUGGCUUGAUAAGCCGGUUGUGAAAGCCCCGGGCUCAACCUGGGAACGGCAUCCGGAACUGUCAAGCUAGAGUGCAGGAGAGGAAGGUAGAAUUCCCGGUGUAGCGGUGAAAUGCGUAGAGAGCGGGAGGAAUACCAGUGGCGAAGGCGGCCUUCUGGACUGACACUGACACUGAGGUGCGAAAGCGUGGGUAGCAAACAGGAUUAGAUACCCUAGUAGUC